GAUGAACGCUGGCGGCGUGCCUAAUACAUGCAAGUCGAACGGGGAGUAGCUAUACUCUUAGUGUCGACGGGGUGCGUACCGCGUUGGUACCUGCCCGUAAGCGGGGGAUAACGGACCGAAAGGUUCGCUAAUACCCCAUGUGCACGGUAACGGGUAAAGGUGAACACCACUUUGGGAGGGGACUGCGUCCCAUCAGCUAGUUGGUAAGGUAACGGCUUACCAAGGCGAUGACGGGUAGGGGACCUGAGAGGGUGGCCCCCCACAAUGGAACUGAGACACGGUCCAUACACCUACGGGUGGCAGCAGUAGGGAAUAUUGGUAAUGGGCGCAAGCCUGAACCAGCAACGCCGCGUGUGCGAUGACGGCCUUCGGGUUGUAAAGCACUUUUGACUGGGACGAGGAAGGACGGUACCGGUCGAAUCAGCCUCGGCUAACUACGUG
RNAcentral lists this ribosomal RNA (441 nucleotides) under uncultured bacterium. RNAcentral describes it as "partial 16S ribosomal RNA". It matches the Rfam family "Bacterial small subunit ribosomal RNA", at positions 28 to 507 of the family's 1533-position model. The record is from RNAcentral.